RNAcentral lists this long non-coding RNA (276 nucleotides) under Callithrix jacchus (white-tufted-ear marmoset). RNAcentral describes it as "lncRNA (ENSCJAG00000082964.1)". The record is from RNAcentral. Lineage: Eukaryota; Metazoa; Chordata; Mammalia; Primates; Cebidae.
GCUGAACAAAAGGCCAGAGUUUUAUUAUGACUCAAAUCAGUUUCCCUGAAAAUUCAGCGUGGGGUUUAUAAGGUGUGGAUGGAAAUUCAUGGGAUGAAAGGGGUUCUGGGGAAGAGGACUGAAUUGUCUACCCAUGCCAAUAACAAGCUGCAGAGCACUGACCAAGUUAUUAUCUUCAACUCUCUCAAAGGGUGAAGAGAGAGAAGCAACAUUGGGUCAACUGGCUUUUUUUAAUCCCUUUCCCUUCUUCAGUUGUGGGCUGGAGAGGGAUGUAAU